Macadamia integrifolia is the source of this 1880-nucleotide long non-coding RNA. RefSeq lists it as uncharacterized. NCBI's taxonomy places the organism in Eukaryota, Viridiplantae, Streptophyta, Magnoliopsida, Proteales, Proteaceae. The record is from RefSeq and is a predicted model, not a curated record. The transcript is spliced from 3 exons.
AGAGCAUCCACGACCGGCCGGCUGGUUCGCCAUACUAUGUACUGUUAAAACAGUACCUGAGAGCAUUUUAUUUCACUCUCAAACUCUCAUUUCUCACUCCACAAGCACCAGUCUGCCGCUAAACUUCAAUCUAACUUUCUUCCGGCUAUUUCCUUGCAUACUUCACUUCCAGUUAGUGCAUUCUCUGUUAUUUCUCUGCUUUAGAUAACUUUGUGGAGGUUUUCUAACCUAGGUUACAUUCUCUGCAUCAUGUAUUCCUUUAUGCAAUUUCCUGCCUUUUCCUUGGAAUCUUCUUAUCACACAUCAUUGUUUUUACUUGCUUGUAUGUAUUUACCAUGUAGGACACAUGACUAUUGAUAGGGUUACUCGUAGCAAAGUGGCUACAAUCCCAUUGGGCAAAUGGCUAUGGAUGAAACCUAUGAUACGAUUUGGUUUCGAACUCCCAUCGACCAAGCUAACUGGGUCCACUUCAUGUCCCGGCCUCUAAUCGUUGAACGCCCUAUUAUCACACUUCACCUUCAAGCUUUCAAAGUAAAGGAAAGGUUCAAGGCCUUGGGUUGGGAGGCUAUCUUGAAAGUGGAAGAAGAUGUGCAUCCCAGGCUAGUUCGGGCCUUUAUUGCAAUCUGACCGGCAAACACUUGCAAGAUGGGGAGUACAAAAUCACUAGUCAUGUAGGUGGUAGGGACAUCUCCCUUACUACAGCUGAGUUUGGGUGUAUCGUUGGGAUAUCCAGUGAGGAAACAAAACUUAUUGCCCUCCCAGGACUACUUCCUAUGGGUUCCUCAAGACCACAGAGUUAAAUUUACUAAAGGCUGUAGUUACUGAGGGUGGUGAGGCCAACUGGGCCCGGAUAGCAAAUUGGAAACCUUCUCCAAAGGUACUGUGUAGGAUUGUCCAAUACAACAUUCUUCUCGUUCAUGGUCAUUUCAAUGAAAUCUCUCUGAUGCAAGCUUACACAACUUUGUGCCUUUACUUGGGAGAGCAGAUUAGCUUACUCUACUUGAUCUUGAGGCAUAUGGUGCACCAAGCUUAUCAUCCUGCUGAGGUUAAUCUGUUCUAUGGUAAACUUCUGACCAAGGUAUUCAAGCACAUGGGACUUUGUUUAGUGGGUGAAGAGAAAAGAGAUUCUCAUGCCAUCCCUUUUGAUAGGGUCAUUUUGGAGAAGAUGCAACUCCAUGAGUAUGCAAGCAAUGAUGUGGAUGUGGCACCUAUAGUUGAGGAGGAGUCAGAGGACCAUGAGGAUGAUGAGCUGCACAGGAGGGAGGACGAGCAACAUGAAGACGAAGUACAACAUAGAGAUGAGGAAAUACACAUGGAGGAGGUCCAUGAAGAGUAGGAGAGAGUGAUACCACAGAGAGAUGAGGGAGAGGUACCACACAGGGAUGAGGAGCAGUAAGAGGAUCCCCUAAGAAACUUCCAUAUCAGUGAUGUGGACAUGGGUCUCAAUGGGUUCACUCCGGCUGAUUUUGAGAGCCUAGAGGCACAACUUCCCUGUGUUCCAGAGGAGAGCAUUCAUGGAAAACUGAGGGUAUUCCUCAGACUUCACAAACUCAUAUUCCUCAGCUUCCCUUUGUGCCGGCACCAGAGUCUACCCAGCCCACUACUCAGACAAGAGUGACGUGCACGUGCCCUGAAGUCAGAAUUGAGUUGAUCGACCGAUGGCCGUACUUAAACCUUAACACACACGAGGAUAAAUAAGAUGAUGAUGUAGGUACUGUGGUGUCGAUGGGGUGUGACCCAGUAUCCUUAAGGUCAGAGUACGGUGUGAGUGACUGGUGGAUACCAGAAGUGGAGGAGCACGAUCAGGACUAUGCUUACAAUCACUAUGCUUAUGUUGCACCGUGAGUAGUGUAGCAUAUUUUUUAUCCUUUUGAUAUAGA